This 447-nucleotide ribosomal RNA is filed under the name uncultured bacterium. Its description in RNAcentral is "partial 16S ribosomal RNA". It matches the Rfam family "Bacterial small subunit ribosomal RNA", at positions 29 to 523 of the family's 1533-position model. The record is from RNAcentral.
AACGAACGCUGGCGGCAGGCUUAACACAUGCAAGUCGAACGCAUCGCAAGAUGAGUGGCAGACGGGUGAGUAACGCGUGGGAACAUACCCUUUUCUACGGAAUAGCUCUGGGAAACUGGAAUUAAUACCGUAUACGCCCUACGGGGGUAAGAUUUAUCGGGGAAGGAUUGGCCCGCGUUGGAUUAGCUAGUUGGUGGGGUAAAGGCCUACCAAGGCGACGAUCCAUAGCUGGUCUGAGAGGAUGAGCAGCCACAUUGGGACUGAGACACGGCCCAAACUCCUACGGGAGGCAGCAGUGGGGAAUAUUGGACAAUGGGCGCAAGCCUGAUCCAGCCAUGCCGCGUGAGUGAUGAAGGCCUUAGGGUUGUAAAGCUCUUUCACCGAUGAAGAUAAUGACGGUAGUCGGAGAAGAAGCCCCGGCUAACUUCGUGCCAGCAGCCGCCGUAA